Molecule: small RNA, 1088 nt
Filed under: Pan troglodytes (chimpanzee)
Lineage: Eukaryota; Metazoa; Chordata; Mammalia; Primates; Hominidae
Description: retained intron
Source: RNAcentral
AGACAAUGCGACCCGACCGCGCUGAGGCUCCAGGACCGCCCGCCAUGGCUGCAGGAGGUCCCGCCGCGGGGUCUGCGGCCCCGAUCUCCUCCACAUCCUCCCUUCCCCUGGCUGCUCUCAACAUGCGAGUGCGGCGCCGCCUGUCUCUGUUCUUGAACGUGCGGACACAGGUGGCGGCCGACUGGACCGCGCUGGCGGAGGAGAUGGACUUUGAGUACUUGGAGAUCCGGCAACUGGAGACACACGCGGACCCCACUGGCAGGCUGCUGGACGCCUGGCAGGGACGCCCUGGCGCCUCGGUAGGCCGACUGCUUGAGCUGCUUACCAAGCUGGGCCGCGACGACGUGCUGCUGGAGCUGGGACCCAGCAUUGAGGAGGAUUGCCAAAAGUAUAUCUUGAAGCAGCAGCAGGAGGAGGCUGAGAAGCCUUUACAGGUGGCCGCUGUAGACAGCAGUGUCCCACGGACAGCAGAGCUGGCGGGCAUCACCACACUUGAUGACCCCCUGGGUAAGGGUCCAAUACUGUUCCCAUGGGACAGGUGGAAUAGGACAUUGUGGUGUUAAGAGCAUGGGUGUUUGAAGCAGAUGGGCUGUGAGACCUUGGGCAAGUCACUUAAUCUUUCUGAGCCUCAGUUUCCUCACUUAAGAAAUGGAGAUAAUAGUCCUACCUCUGGAUUGCUGUGAGAUGCUCAUGAAAUAAUGUCUGUCUCGUGGUUAAUCCAGAGCUUAGCCCCUGAGGUACUCAUCUUUCCUCUCCUGGAAAGGGCACUUUCUCUGAGGAGUAUCAUCUUGGGAAGGGUGCAGGGCCCAGGGUUGCCUAGGCAGGGGACUCUUGGCUGGAUCCCUCCCAAGCCUUCCCAUGGAGCUCUGACCACCACCCUUGUGCUCUGCACCCAGGGCAUAUGCCUGAGCGUUUCGAUGCCUUCAUCUGCUAUUGCCCCAGCGACAUCCAGUUUGUGCAGGAGAUGAUCCGGCAACUGGAACAGACAAACUAUCGACUGAAGUUGUGUGUGUCUGACCGCGAUGUCCUGCCUGGCACCUGUGUCUGGUCCAUUGCUAGUGAGCUCAUCGAAAAGAGGUUGGCUAGAA